RNAcentral lists this ribosomal RNA (122 nucleotides) under Phascolarctos cinereus (koala). The record is from RNAcentral. Lineage: Eukaryota; Metazoa; Chordata; Mammalia; Diprotodontia; Phascolarctidae.
GCCUAAAGCCAUAUCACCCUGAAUAUAUCUGGUCUUGUUUGAUCUCAGAAGACAAGCAGAGUGGAGCAUGAUUAAUAAUAAUAAUAACAACAAUAGCUAGCAUUUACAUUGUUUUUAAGGUU